This 650-nucleotide ribosomal RNA is filed under the name uncultured bacterium. RNAcentral's name for it is "bacterial SSU rRNA". It matches the Rfam family "Bacterial small subunit ribosomal RNA", at positions 62 to 707 of the family's 1533-position model. The record is from RNAcentral.
UUGAGCGGCCGGAGUGCUUGCACUUUGCUGACGAGCGGCGGACGGGUGCGUAACACGUAGGAAUCUGCCUGGUAGUGGGGGAUAGCCCGGAGAAAUCCGGAUUAAUACCGCAUACGCCUUACGAGGGAAAGCAGGGGAUCUUCGGACCUUGCGCUAUCAGAUGAGCCUGCGUCGGAUUAGCUGGUUGGUGGGGUAAAGGCCUACCAAGGCGACGAUCCGUAGCUGGUCUGAGAGGAUGAUCAGCCACACUGGGACUGAGACACGGCCCAGACUCCUACGGGAGGCAGCAGUGGGGAAUAUUGCACAAUGGGCGAAGGCCUGAUGCAGCCAUGCCGCGUGUGUGAAGAAGGCCCUAGGGUUGUAAAGCACUUUCAGCGAGGAGGAAAGGUUAAAGGUUAAUACCCUUUGGCUGUGACGUUACUCGCAGAAGAAGCACCGGCUAACUCCGUGCCAGCAGCCGCGGUAAUACGGAGGGUGCGAGCGUUAAUCGGAAUUACUGGGCGUAAAGCGUGCGUAGGCGGCCUUUUAAGUUGGAUGUGAAAGCCCCGGGCUCAACCCGGGAACUGCAUCCAAAACUGGAAGGCUCGAGUGCGGGAGAGGAGUGUGGAAUUUCCUGUGUAGCGGUGAAAUGCGUAGAUAUAGGAAGGAAC